RNAcentral lists this transfer RNA (69 nucleotides) under Brachygalba albogularis. RNAcentral describes it as "tRNA-His". It matches the Rfam family "tRNA". Rfam says of the family: Transfer RNA (tRNA) molecules are approximately 80 nucleotides in length. Lineage: Eukaryota; Metazoa; Chordata; Aves; Piciformes; Galbulidae. The record is from RNAcentral.
GCAGCUAUAGUUUAACCCAAACACUAGAUUGUGAUUCUAGAAAUAGAAGUUUGAACCUUCUUACCUGCC